UAGGGAAUCUUCCGCAAUGGACGCAAGUCUGACGGAGCAACGCCGCGUGAGUGAAGAAGGAUUUCGGUUCGUAAAACUCUGUUGUUAGAGAAGAACAGCGCAUAGAGUAACUGUUAUGCGUGUGACGGUAUCUAACCAGAAAGCCACGGCUAACUACGUGCCAGCAGCCGCGGUAAUACGUAGGUGGCAAGCGUUGUCCGGAUUUAUUGGGCGUAAAGCGAGCGCAGGCGGUCAAUUAAGUCUGAUGUGAAAGCCCCCGGCUCAACCGGGGAGGGUCAUUGGAAACUGGUUGACUUGAGUGCAGAAGAGGAGAGUGGAAUUCAAUGUGUAGCGGUGAAAUGCGUAGAUAUAUGGGAGAACCCCAGUGGCGAAGGCGACUCUCUAGUCUGUAACUGACGCAGAGGCUCGAAAGCGUGGGUAGCAAACAGG
RNAcentral lists this ribosomal RNA (429 nucleotides) under Bacteroidota bacterium. Its description in RNAcentral is "Bacteroidetes bacterium partial 16S ribosomal RNA". It matches the Rfam family "Bacterial small subunit ribosomal RNA", at positions 355 to 776 of the family's 1533-position model. The record is from RNAcentral. Lineage: Bacteria; Pseudomonadati; Bacteroidota.